RNAcentral lists this ribosomal RNA (477 nucleotides) under Theileria buffeli. RNAcentral describes it as "SSU rRNA". It matches the Rfam family "Eukaryotic small subunit ribosomal RNA", at positions 526 to 1040 of the family's 1831-position model. The record is from RNAcentral. Lineage: Eukaryota; Apicomplexa; Aconoidasida; Piroplasmida; Theileriidae.
UAAACCUCUUCCAGAGUAUCAAUUGGAGGGCAGUCUGGUGCCAGCAGCCGCGGUAAUUCCAGCUCCAAUAGCGUAUAUUAAAUUUGUUGCAGUUAAAAAGCUCGUAGUUGAAUUUCUGCUGCAUUACAUUUCUCUUGUUUGAGUUUGUUAUUGUGGCUUAUUUCGGAUUGAUUUUUAUCAUUCCGGAUGAUUACUUUGAGAAAAUUAGAGUGCUCAAAGCAGGCUUUUGCCUUGAAUAGUUUAGCAUGGAAUAAUAGAGUAGGACUUUGGUUCUAUUUUGUUGGUUUUAGGUACCAAAGUAAUGGUUAAUAGGAACAGUUGGGGGCAUUCGUAUUUAACUGUCAGAGGUGAAAUUCUUAGAUUUGUUAAAGACGAACUACUGCGAAAGCAUUUGCCAAGGAUGUUUUCAUUAAUCAAGAACGAAAGUUAGGGGAUCGAAGACGAUCAGAUACCGUCGUAGUCCUAACCAUAAACUAA